This 437-nucleotide ribosomal RNA is filed under the name uncultured bacterium. RNAcentral describes it as "bacterial SSU rRNA". It matches the Rfam family "Bacterial small subunit ribosomal RNA", at positions 343 to 797 of the family's 1533-position model. The record is from RNAcentral.
CGGAGGCAGCAGUGAGGAAUCUUGCACAAUGGGGGAAACCCUGAUGCAGCGACGCCGCGUGAGCGAUGAAGCCCUUCGGGGUGUAAAGCUCUUUCGGCGGGAACGAUAAUGACGGUACCCGAAGAAGAAGCUGCGGCUAACUACGUGCCAGCAGCCGCGGUAAUACGUAGGCAGCAAGCGUUGUUCGGAGUUACUGGGCGUAAAGAGUGUGUAGGCGGUUCCCCAAGUUCGGUGUGAAAUCUCCCGGCUCAACUGGGAGGGUGCGCCGGAAACUGGGGGGCUUGAGUGUGGGAGAGGAAAGCGGAAUUCCUGGUGUAGCGGUGAAAUGCGUAGAUAUCAGGAGGAACACCUGUGGUGUAGACGGCUUUCUGGACCACGACUGACGCUGAGACACGAAAGCGUGGGGAGCAAACAGGAUUAGAUACCCCUGUAGUCCC